Molecule: ribosomal RNA, 255 nt
Filed under: uncultured bacterium
Lineage: Bacteria
Description: partial 16S ribosomal RNA
Rfam family: Bacterial small subunit ribosomal RNA
Source: RNAcentral
GACGUAGGGGCGCGAGCGUUGUCCGGAUUUAUUGGGCGUAAAGAGCUCGUAGGCGGCUUGUCGCGUCGAAUGUGAAAUCUCCAGGGCUCAACUCUGACAUUGCAUUCGAUACGGGCAGGCUCGAGCUCGGUAGGGGAGACUGGAAUUCCUGGUGUAGCGGUGAAAUGCGCAGAUAUCAGGAGGAACACCGGUGGCGAAGGCGGGUCUCUGGGCCGAUACUGACGCUGAGGAGCGAAAGCGUGGGGAGCGAACAGG